GCCAGGCACAAUCAAAGCAGCAUAUGGAGAGUUUUUAUGGAGCCAUGUCUCUGAAAGGCAGAGGAAGUCAAGGUUGGAGUCUGUGAGAAGAUGUUGAAUUUGAUCACUUUUUGGAAUGACACUACGAAUGUUCAAGUGCCCUCCUAGUAUUCCCUUGGGCUUAGCUUGUGGGUCCCAGAUAACUCGAGAGUAAUUGACACAUUUAAAAAAGUUACAUUUUCUGUGUUUUCUGACGGCUGGGUUUAGUUUUGUUUAGGGGCAGUUCGGUAGCGCAAUUAACAAUCCCUCCCGCUUGCACUGGAUGUGAGGAACUAAUUAAAACAGCUUGCGUACCAGAAGCAGAGUCACGGAUUGCAUAUAGCGACUUGGGUAUGUUUGAAGAAUCAAAUUCCAUCCUGGAGCCGGGUGAGUCGAGAGAAACCAUGGGACCAUAGCACUUACCCACUUCCGCAGCGGCGACGAUCAGUGGACGAGGCCAUCCACUGCUUUCCACUCUGAGAGAAGCAAUGGGGUUCCAGACUCUGAGAAGGAUGAUGAUGGUGGCCCAGUUUCCAAUCAGUCCCAACUGUCCACAGAUUACAGGUUAUGAGAAUCAACUGUCUGAAGCUGAAGCAAUAUUCCUUGACCCAAGGACUGUACUUGAAAUGAUACAAGAUCACCGGUGAAGUGUUCAUUAGAGAAGUCCUUAUCAACCAUUGGAACGUAAGAAGAAUUCCU
This 717-nucleotide long non-coding RNA is filed under the name Salmo salar (Atlantic salmon). RNAcentral describes it as "lncRNA (ENSSSAG00000096872.1)". Lineage: Eukaryota; Metazoa; Chordata; Actinopteri; Salmoniformes; Salmonidae. The record is from RNAcentral.